RNAcentral lists this ribosomal RNA (384 nucleotides) under uncultured bacterium. RNAcentral's name for it is "bacterial SSU rRNA". It matches the Rfam family "Bacterial small subunit ribosomal RNA", at positions 29 to 416 of the family's 1533-position model. The record is from RNAcentral.
AUUGAACGCUGGCGGCAUGCUUUACACAUGCAAGUCGAACGGUAACAGGCCUUCGGGUGCUGACGAGUGGCGGACGGGUGAGUAAUGCAUCGGAACGUGCCCAAUCGUGGGGGAUAACGUAGCGAAAGUUACGCUAAUACCGCAUAAGCCCUGAGGGGGAAAGCAGGGGAUCGCAAGACCUUGCGCGAAUGGAGCGGCCGAUGUCAGAUUAGCUAGUUGGUGGGGUAAAGGCCUACCAAGGCGACGAUCUGUAGCGGGUCUGAGAGGAUGAUCCGCCACACUGGGACUGAGACACGGCCCAGACUCCUACGGGAGGCAGCAGUGGGGAAUUUUGGACAAUGGGCGCAAGCCUGAUCCAGCCAUGCCGCGUGCGGGACGAAGGCC